This 253-nucleotide ribosomal RNA is filed under the name uncultured bacterium. RNAcentral's name for it is "partial 16S ribosomal RNA". It matches the Rfam family "Bacterial small subunit ribosomal RNA", at positions 524 to 776 of the family's 1533-position model. The record is from RNAcentral.
UACGUGAGGGGCGAACGUUGUUCGGUGUCACUGGGCUUAAAGGGCGCGUAGGUGGCUGUGCAAGUAAGGUGUGAAAGCCCUCGGCUUACCCGGGGAAUUGCGCCUUAAACUGCAUGGCUUGAGGGAUUCAGGGGAAUGGGGAACUCCAGGUGUAGCGGUGAAAUGCGCAGAUAUCUGGGGGAAGGCCGGCGGCGAAGGCGGCAUUCUGGGAAUUACCUGACACUGAGGCGCGAAAGCGUGGGGAGCAAACAGG